UAGUCCACGCCCUAAACGAUGAAUGUUAGUCGUCGGGUAGCUAGUCUAUUCGGUGAUGCAGCUAACGCAUUAAACAUUCCGCCUGGGGAGUACGGUCGCAAGAUUAAAACUCAAAGGAAUAGACGGGGACCCGCACAAGUGGUGGAGCAUGUGGUUUAAUUCGAAGAUACGCGAAGAACCUUACCUACACUUGACAUACUAGUCGGGACUUUCAGAGAUGAUUGUCUUCGGUUCGGCCGGACUAGAUACAGGUGCUGCAUGGCUGUCGUCAGCUCGGGUCGUGAGAUGUUGGGUUAAGUCCCGCAACGAGCGCAACCCCUAUCGUAUGUUGCCAGCAGGUUAAGCUGGGCACUCGUGCGAGACUGCCGGUGAUAAGCCGGAGGAAGGCGGGGACGACGUCAAGUCAUCAUGGCCCUUACGUGUAGGGCUACAAACGUGCUACAAUGGCCGUGACAAUGGGCAGCAACCUCGCGAGAGGAAGCGAAUCCUAAAAACGGUCUCAGUUC
Molecule: ribosomal RNA, 506 nt
Filed under: uncultured bacterium
Lineage: Bacteria
Description: bacterial SSU rRNA
Rfam family: Bacterial small subunit ribosomal RNA
Source: RNAcentral